This is a non-coding RNA of Ornithorhynchus anatinus (platypus), 92 nucleotides long. NCBI's taxonomy places the organism in Eukaryota, Metazoa, Chordata, Mammalia, Monotremata, Ornithorhynchidae. The record is from the annotation of a RefSeq genome assembly.
GCCAGGGCACAUCUGAUGGCCGAGCGGUCUAAGGCGCUGCGUUCAGGUCGCAGUCUCCCCUGGAGGCGUGGGUUCGAAUCCCACUUCUGACA